UCUAUGGAGAUUAUAAUUUGC
This 21-nucleotide non-coding RNA is filed under the name Caenorhabditis elegans. The record is from RNAcentral. Lineage: Eukaryota; Metazoa; Nematoda; Chromadorea; Rhabditida; Rhabditidae.